GGUUAUGGCUCAGAGGUAGAGCACUCACCUAGCAUGUGCAAGGCCCUGAGUUCGAUCCUCGGCACCA
This 67-nucleotide transfer RNA is filed under the name Marmota monax (woodchuck). RNAcentral describes it as "tRNA.Ala". Lineage: Eukaryota; Metazoa; Chordata; Mammalia; Rodentia; Sciuridae. The record is from RNAcentral.